RNAcentral lists this ribosomal RNA (116 nucleotides) under Pteropus alecto (black flying fox). The record is from RNAcentral. Lineage: Eukaryota; Metazoa; Chordata; Mammalia; Chiroptera; Pteropodidae.
GUCUAUAGCCAUGCCACCCUGAACAAACCCGAUGUCUGAUCUUGGAAGGUAAGCAGGGUCGGGCCUGGUUAAUACUUGGAUGGGAGACCACCUAGGAAGACCAGGUGCUGUAGGCA